Molecule: microRNA precursor, 204 nt
Filed under: Oryza nivara
Lineage: Eukaryota; Viridiplantae; Streptophyta; Magnoliopsida; Poales; Poaceae
Description: MIR812 microRNA precursor family
Rfam family: MIR812 microRNA precursor family
Source: Rfam by way of RNAcentral
AAUAGAUGAUGCCGUUGACUUUUUCUCACAUGUUUGACCAUUCAUCUUAUUCAAAAAAUUUACGUAAUUAUAAUUUAUUUUAUUAUGAGUUGUUUUUUCACUCAUAGUACUUUAAGUGUGAUUUAUAUCUUAUACAUCUGCAUAAAACUUUUGAAUAAGACGAAUGGUCAAACAUGUGAGAAAAAGUCAACGGCGUCAUCUAUU